Molecule: ribosomal RNA, 2340 nt
Filed under: human gut metagenome
Description: bacterial LSU rRNA
Rfam family: Bacterial large subunit ribosomal RNA
Source: RNAcentral
AGAGCGUAUGGUGGAUGCCUUGGCACUAAGAGCCGAUGAAAGACGUGAUAAGCUGCGAAAAGCUUCGGGGAGGAGCAAAUAUCCUUUGAUCCGGAGAUUUCUGAAUGGGGAAACCUACUUGAGCAAACCUCAAGUAUCCUUAAGCCAAUACAUAACUUAAGGAAGGGAACCCGGUGAACUGAAACAUCUAAGUAGCCGGAGGAAGAGAAAACAACAUGUGAUUCUGUGAGUAGCGGCGAGCGAAAACGGAAGAGCCCAAACCAGCGUGCGUGCAUGCUGGGGUUCGGACCGCGGAAUUGAUUCAACGAGUUUAGCAGAACGGUUUUGGGAAAGCCGGCCAGAGAGGGUGAAAGCCCCGUAAGCGAAAGACGAGUUGACAUGGCGGGAUCCAGAGUACCACGAGACACGUGGAACCUUGUGGGAAGAUGCGGGGACCACCCCGUAAGGCUAAAUACUACUUAGUGACCGAUAGCGCAUAGUACUGUGAAGGAAAGGUGAAAAGGACCCCGGGAGGGGAGUGAAAAAGAACCUGAAACCAUAUGUUUACAAGCUGUGGAAGAGCUUUAUAUGCUCAACCGCGUACUUUUUGUAGAACGGUCCGGCGAGUUACGCUGGCUGGCGAGGUUAAGGACUAAAGGUCCGGAGCCGAAGGGAAACCAAGUCUGAACAGGGCGCAUAGUCAGUCGGAGUAGACCCGAAACCGGGUGAUCUAUCCAUGUCCAGGUUGAAGUUGCCGUAAAAGGCAAUGGAGGACCGAACCCACAUCCGUUGAAAAGGGUGGGGAUGAGGUGUGGAUAGGGGAGAAAUUCCAAUCGAACCCGGAGAUAGCUGGUUCUCCUCGAAAUAGCUUUAGGGCUAGCCUCAUACGAGUCUUGCGGAGGUAGAGCACUGAAUUCCUAAGGGGGCGUCAAAGCUUACUAAGGGAUAUCAAACUCCGAAUGCCGUGUAGAUGAUGUAUGGGAGUCAGACGAUCCGAGAUAAGUUGGGUGGUCAAAAGGGAAAGAGCCCAGACCAACAGCUAAGGCCCCAAAAUGUGUGUUAAGUGGAAAAGGAUGUGGGAUUUCGAAGACAACUAGGAUGUUGGCUCAGAAGCAGCCACACAUUCAAAGAGUGCGUAAUAGCUCACUAGUCGAGAGGUCCUGCGCCGAAAAUGUCCGGGGCUGAAACACACUGCCGAAGCUUUGGAAUUGAUGAAUUUCAAUUGGUAGAGGAGCAUUCUUAAAGAGACGAAGCAGUACCGGAAGGAGCUGUGGAUUUUUAAGAAGAGAGAAUGCCGGAAUGAGUAGCGAGAGGAAGGUGGGAAUCCUUCCGGCCGAAUAUCUAAGGUUUCCAGAGUAAAGCUGAUCUGCUCUGGGUAAGUCGGGGCCUAAGGCGAGGUCGAAAGACGUAGUCGAUGGAUAACAGGUUGAAAUUCCUGUACUAUCCUGUAACAGAACUGUGGGGACACAGGCAGAGAGCGUGAGCCGGGAAUGGAAAGACCGGUACAAGCGAGGUAGGAGAAGAGUUGGCAAAUCCGCUCUUCAAUCUGAAGACGUGAUGUGGACCGAAAAGAAGUAGGGAAGCACGUGAGCUGACUGUCAAGAAAAGCCGCUAUUGUUUGCAGGAUACCCGUACCGUAAACCGACACAGGUGGAUGAGGAGAGAAUCCUAAGGCCGACGGGAGAAGCAUUGUUAAGGAACUCGGCAAAAUGACUCCGUAACUUCGGGAGAAGGAGUGCCAGUAAGAUGGCCGCAGAGAAUUGGCCCAAGCAACUGUUUAGCAAAAACACAGGUCUAUGCAAAACCGAAAGGUGAGGUAUAUGGGCUGACGCCUGCCCGGUGCUGGAAGGUUAAGGGGAGAGGUUAGCGCAAGCGAAGCUUUGAACUUAAGCCCCAGUAAACGGCGGCCGUAACUAUAACGGUCCUAAGGUAGCGAAAUUCCUUGUCGGGUAAGUUCCGACCCGCACGAAAGGCGUAAUGAUUUGGGCACUGUCUCAACAAUGCACCCGGUGAAAUUGAAAUACCAGUGAAGAUGCUGGUUACCUGCGCCAGGACGGAAAGACCCCAUGGAGCUUUACUCCAGCUUGAUACUGGGAUUCGGUAUUGCAUGUACAGGAUAGGUGGGAGGCUAGGAAAUGGUAACGCCAGUUGCCAUGGAGCCGCUGUUGGGAUACCACCCUUGCAGUAUUGGGUUUCUAACCAGCCGCCGUGACCCGGCGGUGGGACAAUGCCAGACGGGGAGUUUGACUGGGGCGGUCGCCUCCGAAAGGGUAUCGGAGGCGCUCAAAGGUUCCCUCAGAAUGGUUGGAAACCAUUCGAAGAGUGCAAAGGCAGAAGGGAGCUUGACUGCGACACCGACGG